This 67-nucleotide transfer RNA is filed under the name Rhabdopleura compacta. RNAcentral's name for it is "transfer RNA-Ala". The record is from RNAcentral. Lineage: Eukaryota; Metazoa; Hemichordata; Pterobranchia; Rhabdopleurida; Rhabdopleuridae.
GUGUGCCUAGUUUAUUAGAAUUGUUGUUUUGCACGCAGCAGGUUAAAGCUUUAGUUUUAGGUAUACU